RNAcentral lists this ribosomal RNA (432 nucleotides) under uncultured bacterium. RNAcentral's name for it is "bacterial SSU rRNA". It matches the Rfam family "Bacterial small subunit ribosomal RNA", at positions 355 to 786 of the family's 1533-position model. The record is from RNAcentral.
UGAGGAAUAUUGGUCAAUGGGCGGGAGCCUGAACCAGCCAAGCCGCGUGAGGGAGGAAGGCCCUAUGGGUCGUAAACCUCUUUUGUCAGGGAACAAAAGCGAGUAUGUAUACUAGUCUGAGUGUACCUGAAGAAAAAGCAUCGGCUAACUCCGUGCCAGCAGCCGCGGUAACACGGGGGAUGCGAGCGUUAUCCGGAUUUAUUGGGUUUAAAGGGCGCGUAGGCGGGAUGCCAAGUCAGCGGUAAAAGACUGCAGCUAAACUGUAGCACGCCGUUGAAACUGGUGACCUAGAGAGAAGUCGAGGGAGGCGGAACAAGUGAAGUAGCGGUGAAAUGCUUAGAUAUCACUUGGAACCCGAUAGCGAAGGCAGCUUCCCAGUCUUUGUCUGACGCUGAUGCGCGAGAGCGUGGGUAGCGAACAGGAUUAGAUACC